AGGGCAAAGGGCUGACCAGCAACUUGGGAGGAUGGACGGCUAAAGCGUAAAAUGUGAUGUACCCGAUAGUAUUAGUAAUUAAUAUAGAAACUAGCAGAGUUAGUUAAAAUUCGAUGUAAACAUUUGAUUAUGACAAUAUUUGCUUAUUUCUUGACCAAGUCACGUGCCAGCAGUCGCGGCAACACGUGGUAGAUUAGUGUUAUAAUCUUUAAUAGGUUUAAAGGGUACCUAGACGGUUAAUUAGACAUUAAAGUGUACUUUUAUUAACUAGAGUUUAAUGUAAGAAGGAUUGAGUACGGUGAGUGAAGGUAUAAAAUUCUGUUU
This 324-nucleotide ribosomal RNA is filed under the name Graphis amazonica. RNAcentral describes it as "partial large subunit ribosomal RNA". The record is from RNAcentral. Lineage: Eukaryota; Fungi; Ascomycota; Lecanoromycetes; Ostropales; Graphidaceae.